AUCACCUGGGGAUCUUGUUAAACCACAGACUCUAUUUUAGUAGGUCUGGGAUGGGGUCCGAGGUUCUGCAUUUCUAACAAGUUCCCAGAUGAUGCUGA
RNAcentral lists this microRNA precursor (98 nucleotides) under Felis catus (domestic cat). RNAcentral's name for it is "mir-544 microRNA precursor family". It matches the Rfam family "mir-544 microRNA precursor family". Lineage: Eukaryota; Metazoa; Chordata; Mammalia; Carnivora; Felidae. The record is from Rfam by way of RNAcentral.